AUGAAGAUACCUCUUAAGAAUAAAAUCUUUGCAUGGUAUGUUCGUCAUGGGGUCAUUCUUACUAAAAAUAAUCUUAUUAAAAGGAAUUGGCAUGGAAGUAUGCAAUGUGUUUUCUGUCAGCAUGAUGAGACAAUGAAACAUUUGUUCUUCCAAUGCAAAUUGGCUCAUAUUAUAUGGUCAGUCAUUCAAAUAGCUUCUGACUUAUAUCCUCCUUAUAGUGUUGCUAAUAUAUUUUGGCAACUGGUUACAUGA
RNAcentral lists this ribosomal RNA (252 nucleotides) under Triticum aestivum (bread wheat). RNAcentral's name for it is "partial small subunit ribosomal RNA". Lineage: Eukaryota; Viridiplantae; Streptophyta; Magnoliopsida; Poales; Poaceae. The record is from RNAcentral.